This 363-nucleotide ribosomal RNA is filed under the name Triticum aestivum (bread wheat). RNAcentral describes it as "partial small subunit ribosomal RNA". Lineage: Eukaryota; Viridiplantae; Streptophyta; Magnoliopsida; Poales; Poaceae. The record is from RNAcentral.
AUGGCAGUGGCAGGUGCCUCACCUGUUCUUCAUCUCCUUCUCCAACAAUGGCAGCUGAUUCUAGCCAUCCUCCUCGUCCCACUCGCCUGCCUCCUCCUUCGAGGAAGGUCAGGCUCCGGCCUAAAGCGGCCACCGGGCCCCAUGAGGCUGCCCAUCGUGGGCAACCUGCACCAGAUCGGGCGGCUGCCGCACCGGAGCCUGGCUGCGCUAGCCCGGCGGCACGGGCCUGUGAUGAUGCUGCGACUGGGCAUGGUGCCGAUGGUGGUGCUGACGUCACCGAAGGCGGCCCGGGAAGCCCUCAAGACAAAGAAUGAUGACUGCAGCAGCCGUCCCCUGUCGGCAGGGCCAGGGCUGCUGUCCUAA